Molecule: ribosomal RNA, 433 nt
Filed under: uncultured bacterium
Lineage: Bacteria
Description: partial 16S ribosomal RNA
Rfam family: Bacterial small subunit ribosomal RNA
Source: RNAcentral
AGCGAACGCUGGCGGCAGGCCUAACACAUGCAAGUCGAACGAACUCUUCGGAGUUAGUGGCGGACGGGUGAGUAACACGUGGGAACGUGCCUUUAGGUUCGGAAUAACUCAGGCAAACUUGUGCUAAUACCGAAUGUGCCCUUCGGGGGAAAGAUUUAUCGCCUUUAGAGCGGCCCGCGUCUGAUUAGCUAGUUGGUGAGGUAAAGGCUCACCAAGGCGACGAUCAGUAGCUGGUCUGAGAGGAUGAUCAGCCACAUUGGGACUGAGACACGGCCCAAACUCCUACGGGAGGCAGCAGUGGGGAAUCUUGCGCAAUGGGCGAAAGCCUGACGCAGCCAUGCCGCGUGAAUGAUGAAGGUCUUAGGAUUGUAAAAUUCUUUCACCGGGGACGAUAAUGACGGUACCCGGAGAAGAAGCCCCGGCUAACUUCGUG